CUCCUUCAAUAAAAAACAAUAAUUCACAUUAAAACCAAUAACAAUAAAUUCACAAUAAUACAAAUUCACAAUUUACUCAAUGUUAAACAACCCUGUUUUUUCAAUAAAGGCGAAAUAACAUUGCGGCGAAAUCAAAAUGGAGUCAAAAAAAAUGGCGACGAAGGCAAAGACGUCUUGUAAAUAUUAAACAAGAAAAAGUGUAUUUAUGUGAAAAUUAAUAACUUUUUCGUGUAAAAACUAAUAAAAAACGAAUUAUUUAAGAGUGUUAAUGAUAAAGAAACGUUAAAAAAUCACAACUAUUAACUAAAAUAUAGAAAUAUUACGGCGGCAAAAUUUUCAUUCUUUCGUGGUAAAAUUUUUCGGUAGGAAAAAAAGAAACGUCGAAUAAAACUGAAAAGAAACCACAUAAUAAAAAAGUUUGCAAUAAACUGAAAUUGAAAAACGUGUAAUACUAAUUAUGAGAAAUAUAUAAUAAAACAUAGUGCAAGGAUAUUACUAGCAUUUUUUAAUAAAUUAAUAUAAAUUAUUUGUAUAUAAUACAAAUAUCUUAUGUGAAAAAAGCAAAAAACGAAAAGAAAAGAAGAAAUAGAUAUAAAGAAGUGGAAUGGGAGAAUGAGUGUGUGUUUUCAAAUAUCGUUUCUUCGUUGUUCGUCUUGAGUAGUGAGUGAGUUCUGUCGUUUUUUUAAUUUUAAAUUGUAUAUAAAACGAAAAGAUAAAUAUCUCAAAGAUGCAAAAUUGUAUAUUUUUUAAAUGGGUUAAUAUAUUGUAAUAAACAAGAGUAAAUAAUGCAUUGGGGUUUGAGACUUGACUUUCAUAAGAGACAUCUAUCAGCAACAAUGACAAUUAGACAAAUGUGCGGCGAAGAAAAA
Lucilia cuprina (Australian sheep blowfly) is the source of this 869-nucleotide long non-coding RNA. RefSeq lists it as uncharacterized. The transcript has 2 exons. Lineage: Eukaryota; Metazoa; Arthropoda; Insecta; Diptera; Calliphoridae. The record is from RefSeq and is a predicted model, not a curated record.